UACGUAGGUGGCAAGCGUUGUCCGGAUUUACUGGGCGUAAAGAGCGCGCAGGCGGUCGUAUAAGUCGAAUGUGAAAGCCCCCGGCUCAACUGGGGAGGGUCAUUCGAUACUGUUCGACUCGAAGGCAGGAGAGGGAAGUGGAAUUCCGGGUGUAGUGGUGAAAUGCGUAGAUAUCCGGAGGAACACCAGUGGCGAAGGCGACUUUCUGGCCUGUUCCUGACGCUGAGGCGCGAAAGCUAGGGGAGCAAACGGG
This 253-nucleotide ribosomal RNA is filed under the name uncultured bacterium. RNAcentral describes it as "partial 16S ribosomal RNA". It matches the Rfam family "Bacterial small subunit ribosomal RNA", at positions 524 to 776 of the family's 1533-position model. The record is from RNAcentral.